CUUACAAUGCCUCAUGUUGGUGCUCGCGGUGUGGUUCACACACCGCAGUUCAACGGGAAGCAGGAGGGACAAGUUCACACAGAACCGACCUAACCUGCGCUGCCCCCGCAACGGUAAGCAGACGAACUGUGUGCCAUUUUUUUGGUGCCGUGUUCCGCUUUCAUUUCUCAACCACUGGGUGUCGCAAGGCGCCUGGGAAGGUGAUGAAGGUCGCUCUGCCAGCCCGGAUACCGGCCAACAAGGCGGUGGUGCG
This 253-nucleotide non-coding RNA is filed under the name Hydrogenophaga crassostreae. RNAcentral also lists the same sequence under 1 other name. Lineage: Bacteria; Pseudomonadati; Pseudomonadota; Betaproteobacteria; Burkholderiales; Comamonadaceae. The record is from RNAcentral.